Molecule: long non-coding RNA, 219 nt
Organism: Betta splendens (Siamese fighting fish)
Lineage: Eukaryota; Metazoa; Chordata; Actinopteri; Anabantiformes; Osphronemidae
Exons: 3
Source: RefSeq, a predicted model, not a curated record
UCACUGUCUCCUCAUCCUAAUUUACCAGCAGGACUCUAAACCUCUGUAUUAACUGUGUAUUUCUCUUCAGGCCAACUCAGUCAGGAACCGUAUGGACCUCCAACACAACUCCCAGUGUCAACAAGAAUCAAAACCAACCUGAGGCUCGUAUCUAUGAAUCUGUGAAUGACUCUGAAAACACUGGAAAAGAUGAGGAUGUCACAUAUUCUGUCAUUGAAC